AAAGUCGUAACAAGGUCUCCGUAGGUGAACCUGCGGAGGGAUCAUUAUAGAAAAACACUUUCUAUCAAAAGUGAUGAGGCUUUUUUUAGGCCUUGUUGCUUUCAAACAAACGAUCGCAACUAUUUUUUUAUGGGAGGGGGGGUUCUUGAUUGAGAGACAGACAGAAAUGUCGCUCUUGGUGGAGAAGAAAAAAACAAAAGUGUUUGCCUGAUAUUAUAAAUGCCAUUGAUUUGGUUGGAGAAUAAUUUAAAUACAACUUUCAACAACGGAUCUCUUGGCUCUC
This 283-nucleotide unclassified non-coding RNA is filed under the name Basidiomycota sp. Its description in RNAcentral is "partial contains small subunit ribosomal RNA, internal transcribed spacer 1, and 5.8S ribosomal RNA". The stretch from base 1 to 47 matches the Rfam family "Eukaryotic small subunit ribosomal RNA", at positions 1785 to 1831 of the family's 1831-position model. Lineage: Eukaryota; Fungi; Basidiomycota. The record is from RNAcentral.